GACGAACGCUGGCGGCGUGCUUAACACAUGCAAGUCGAACGGAAAGGCCCUGCUUUUGUGGGGUGCACGAGUGGCGAACGGGUGAGUAACACGUGAGUAACCUGCCCUGCACUUUGGGAUAAGUUCAGGAAACUGGGGCUAAUACCGGAUAGGAGCUCACCCUGCGGGGUGGGGGUUGGAACGUUUCGGCGGUUGGGGAUGGACUCGCGGCUUACCAGCUUGUUGGUGGGGUAGUGGCCUACCAAGGCUGUGACGGGUAGCCGGCCUGAGAGGGUGACCGGCCACAUUGGGACUGAGAUACGGCCCAGACUCCUACGGGAGGCAGCAGUGGGGAAUAUUGCACAAUGGGCGGAAGCCUGAUGCAGCGACGCCGCGUGCGGGAUGACGGCCUUCGGGUUGUAAACCGCUUUCGCCUGUGACGAAGCUUUUCUGACGGUAAAGGGAGAAGAAGCACCGGCUAACUACGUG
Molecule: ribosomal RNA, 468 nt
Filed under: uncultured bacterium
Lineage: Bacteria
Description: partial 16S ribosomal RNA
Rfam family: Bacterial small subunit ribosomal RNA
Source: RNAcentral